Molecule: ribosomal RNA, 424 nt
Filed under: uncultured prokaryote
Description: bacterial SSU rRNA
Rfam family: Bacterial small subunit ribosomal RNA
Source: RNAcentral
UUGGGAAUAUUGCACAAUGGGCGCAAGCCUGAUGCAGCCAUGCCGCGUGAGUGAAGACGGCCUUAGGGUUGUAAAGCUCUUUCAGGUGCGAGGAUAAUGACCGUAACACCAGAAGAAGCCCCGGCUAAAUUCGUGCCAGCAGCCGCGGUAAUACGAAUGGGGCGAGCGUUGUUCGGAAUCACUGGGCGUAAAGCGUAUGUAGGCGGAUAUGAAAGUCAGAAGUGAAAGCCCGGGGCUUAACCCCGGAAUUGCUUUUGAAACUUCAUAUCUAGAGUUCUGGAGAGGCAAGGGGAAUUCCGAGUGUAGAGGUGAAAUUCGCAGAUAUUCGGAGGAACACCAGUGGCGUAGGCGCCUUGCUGGACAGAUACUGACGCUGAGAUACGAAAGCGUGGGGAGCAAACAGGAUUAGAUACCCCCGUAGUCC